CCAGACUCCUACGGGGGGCAGCAGUGGGGAAUAUUGGGCAAUGGGCGCAAGCCUGACCCAGCAACGCCGCGUGAAGGAAGAAGGCUUUCGGGUUGUAAACUUCUUUUAAGAGGGAAGAGUAGAAGACGGUACCUCUUGAAUAAGCCACGGCUAACUACGUGCCAGCAGCCGCGGUAAUACGUAGGUGGCAAGCGUUGUCCGGAUUUACUGGGUGUAAAGGGCGUGUAGCCGGGUUGACAAGUCAGAUGUGAAAUCCUGCGGCUUAACCGCAGAACUGCAUUUGAAACUGUUGAUCUUGAGUACUGGAGAGGCAGACGGAAUUCCUAGUGUAGCGGUGAAAUGCGUAGAUAUCAGGAGGAACACCGGUGGCGAAGGCGGCCUGCUGGACGGCGACUGACGUUGAGGCCCGAAAGCGUGGGGAGCAAACAGGAUUAGAUACCCUCGUAAAC
RNAcentral lists this ribosomal RNA (449 nucleotides) under uncultured bacterium. Its description in RNAcentral is "partial 16S ribosomal RNA". It matches the Rfam family "Bacterial small subunit ribosomal RNA", at positions 331 to 795 of the family's 1533-position model. The record is from RNAcentral.